Macaca mulatta (Rhesus monkey) is the source of this 1180-nucleotide non-coding RNA. NCBI's taxonomy places the organism in Eukaryota, Metazoa, Chordata, Mammalia, Primates, Cercopithecidae. The record is from RefSeq and is a predicted model, not a curated record.
CAAUGGUUGAACUAAUUUAGACGUCCAUUGACGGCGUAGAGGUUAAUCCUAAGAAUGGUUACAUGAGCUUGGAAGGAGACCCUUCCGCAGCUGAGCCUUAGCCUGGGCCAUCACCUACAUCUGGACUGAAGACCCAGAGAAACUACUCCAUCAGGAAUUGUUUGGGACCAUGCAUUCUGUUGCCCACAGCCAACCCGAAAGCCACCAAGGUAGCAGUACUCCUGUGAACCACGUCUGAGUGGAGUAAUGAUGGCACCACAUUCCAGCCUGCAUGGGUAUUGGCCUGAGUGCUCCUGCCUCAUGAAAUUCAGCCACCUCUUUCUCCAGUCAGUUCCAUCUUCUCAACUCCAACUGUCUUCCAGAGUCCGUGUCACACCACAGCCUGGAAACUCUCCCCAAGCAGUAACCUGAAGCAACAGUAAACCCUCAUUGUUUCGCCUCUCUCGGAUGUCACUUCCUUCAUUGUUUGAUGUGCACUGUCUUGCAAUCCAUCCUUCCAGAUGAAUCAUCCAUUUUUAAAUGUGAUAAGCCAUGUCCAAUCCCCAUAAGUUUUACCACAACAUUUUGUUUCAUUCUUCCUGCAGUUACUCCAUCAUUACUGUACCACCGCCUAUAUGGAUGUAAUUGUCAGUGUGAAGCUGAGUAAGGAACAACGUGCACCAGUCUCACAGAGAAAAAUGGACAAGCGAGCUGGCCUUUGUAUCACUAAAGGGAAGUACUCCCGUGAACCAUGUCUGAGUGGAGUAAUGAUGGCACCACAGUCCAGCCUGCAUGGGUGUUGGCCUGAGUGCUCCCGUCUCAUGAAAUUCAGCCACCUCUUUCUCCAGUCAGUUCCAUAUUCUCAACUCCGACUGUCUUCCAGAGUCCGUGUUACACCACAGCCUGGAAACUCUCCCCAAGCAGUAACCUGAAGCAACAUUACUCCAUCAUUACUGUAUCACCGCCUGUAUGGAUGUAGUUGUCAGUGUGAAGCUGAGUAAGGAACAACGUGCACCAGUCUCACAGAGAAAAAUGGACAAGCGAGCUGGCCUUUGUAUCACUAAAGGGAAGGUUUGGAAUAAUUCAUCAGUGUAAUCUUCUCAACCUGGUCAAUCACAUGAACUUAGAAGAUGAUUCCUCCCCAGCUGAUCCUUCAGGGUCUCAAGCCACCCGGGCUGGAGUGCAGUGGCACAGUUAUGGC